Molecule: long non-coding RNA, 537 nt
Filed under: Junco hyemalis (dark-eyed junco)
Lineage: Eukaryota; Metazoa; Chordata; Aves; Passeriformes; Passerellidae
Description: lncRNA (ENSJHYG00000000529.1)
Source: RNAcentral
CCACAACUCUGCUUCCUUGGCAGAGGCAGUGCUGUAGGCUGGCUGCUGAAUGACUAACCAGUUAUAUCAUUAACAUGCUCUGCUACAACUGCAGGAUUGCCCCGAAGAAAAACCAAAAUAAUUGGGUCCUUUGCAGUUAAACUUCAAGUCUGAAGAUCUAACCAGAGGAUUGAGCAGCUGGCAGGGUAGGCCUGAUACAGAACACAGCAAAAUUAAAAUGGUUUACUUUUUGUUAUUGUGUACCUUUUUGUUGUAGCUUGAAGAUGAAUAUCUGAAGCUCUGCAAGACAGAUUAAAGCACAGGCACCAGCAGUGCACGCAAAGAAUCUAUUCCCAGGACCAUGAAAGGAUGCCAAGCCAUUCUGCUUUCAAUUACGUAUGAAGUGACCAUUCAGAUGCCUUGACCAGCACACAAAGAGACUGAAACACAGCAUGCAGUACACAAGCAAAAUGUCCAUCCAAGCAGACCACAAAUCAAGAACUACACACACCUGGCAAGUGUUGGCCAUCUACAUGGCCUUAGCUGCAAGCCUCUCCG